RNAcentral lists this ribosomal RNA (432 nucleotides) under uncultured bacterium. RNAcentral's name for it is "partial 16S ribosomal RNA". It matches the Rfam family "Bacterial small subunit ribosomal RNA", at positions 29 to 507 of the family's 1533-position model. The record is from RNAcentral.
ACGAACGCUGGCGGCAUGCCUAACACAUGCAAGUCGAACGAGACCUUCGGGUCUAGUGGCGCACGGGUGCGUAACGCGUGGGAACCUGCCCUUAGGUUCGGAAUAACUCCCCGAAAGGGGUGCUAAUACCGGAUAAUGUCUUCGGACCAAAGAUUUAUCGCCUUUGGAUGGGCCCGCGUUGGAUUAGCUAGUUGGUAGGGUAAAAGCCUACCAAGGCGACGAACCAUAGCUGGUCUGAGAGGAUGAUCAGCCACACUGGGACUGAGACACGGCCCAGACUCCUACGGGAGGCAGCAGUGGGGAAUAUUGGACAAUGGGCGAAAGCCUGAUCCAGCAAUGCCGCGUGAGUGAUGAAGGCCUUAGGGUUGUAAAGCUCUUUUACCCGGGAUGAUAAUGACAGUACCGGGAGAAUAAGCUCCGGCUAACUCCGUG